Molecule: ribosomal RNA, 253 nt
Filed under: uncultured bacterium
Lineage: Bacteria
Description: partial 16S ribosomal RNA
Rfam family: Bacterial small subunit ribosomal RNA
Source: RNAcentral
UACGUAGGGUGCAAGCGUUGUCCGGAAUUAUUGGGCGUAAAGAGCUCGUAGGCGGUUUGUCGCGUCUGCUGUGAAAACCGGAGGCUCGACCUCCGGCCUGCAGUGGGUACGGGCAAACUAGAGUGCGGUAGGGGAGAUUGGAAUUCCUGGUGUAGCGGUGGAAUGCGCAGAUAUCAGGAGGAACACCGAUGGCGAAGGCAGAUCUCUGGGCCGUAACUGACGCUGAGGAGCGAAAGCGUGGGGAGCGAACAGG